GCAGUGGCUGUUCCUAUGCCACUAACACGACUAAGGCUCAUCACGGAUUUGGUUGGGUUGGAGAAUGGGCAAACACAGGUGCUGAGGUGAAUCGGAAACUGGCUGGCCAGACCGGUUGCUCAGGAUUGAGACACUACACCAUGCGGAUAAGGAUAAAACGGAAGGAUAUAUUCUCGAACUGGUUGUAUGGCUUCACUAUCUCGUUACACAAGUGAGGGCUAGCAAUGGUGGAAUUC
Molecule: long non-coding RNA, 236 nt
Organism: Pistacia vera
Lineage: Eukaryota; Viridiplantae; Streptophyta; Magnoliopsida; Sapindales; Anacardiaceae
Exons: 3
Source: RefSeq, a predicted model, not a curated record